GUAGGGAAUAUUGGGCAAUGGUCGGAAGACUGACCCAGCCAUGCCGCGUGCAGGAAGACGGCCCUCUGGGUUGUAAACUGCUUUUAUCUGGGAAGAAAAAGGCCAUGCGUGGCAAAUUGCCGGUACCAGAUGAAUAAGCACCGGCUAACUCCGUGCCAGCAGCCGCGGUAAUACGGAGGGUGCGAGCGGUGUCCGGAUUUAUUGGGUUUAAAGGGUGCGUAGGCGGCUGAUUAAGUCAGCGGUGAAAGACUUCGGCUUAACCGGGGCAGUGCCGUUGAUACUGGUUGGCUUGAGUGUCGGAGGGGUACAUGGAAUUGAUGGUGUAGCGGUGAAAUGCAUAGAUACCAUCAGGACCACCGUUAGCGACAGCAUUGUACUGGCCGACAACUGACGCUGAUGCACGAAAGUGUGGGGAUCGAACAGGAUUAGAAACCCCAGUAGUCC
This 444-nucleotide ribosomal RNA is filed under the name uncultured bacterium. Its description in RNAcentral is "partial 16S ribosomal RNA". It matches the Rfam family "Bacterial small subunit ribosomal RNA", at positions 354 to 796 of the family's 1533-position model. The record is from RNAcentral.